UACAGAGGCCCCAAGCGUUAUCCGGAAUCAUUGGGCGUAAAGGGUGUCAAGGCGGUCAUGUUAGUCGUUCGUUAAAUCUGGGGGCUCAACCUCCAGCCUGCGAGCGAAACGGCAUGACUUGAGGUCGGGAGAGGUGCAUGGAACUCACGGUGUAGGGGUGAAAUCCGUUGAUAUCGUGGGGAACACCAAAGGCGAAGGCAGUGCACUGGCCCGAAUCUGACGCUCACACACGAAAGCCAGGGUAGCGAAUGGG
This 253-nucleotide ribosomal RNA is filed under the name uncultured bacterium. RNAcentral's name for it is "partial 16S ribosomal RNA". It matches the Rfam family "Bacterial small subunit ribosomal RNA", at positions 524 to 776 of the family's 1533-position model. The record is from RNAcentral.